This 1489-nucleotide ribosomal RNA is filed under the name Lactiplantibacillus argentoratensis. RNAcentral describes it as "bacterial SSU rRNA". It matches the Rfam family "Bacterial small subunit ribosomal RNA". The record is from RNAcentral. Lineage: Bacteria; Bacillati; Bacillota; Bacilli; Lactobacillales; Lactobacillaceae.
GACGAACGCUGGCGGCGUGCCUAAUACACGCAAGUCGAACGAACUCUGGUAUUGAUUGGUGCUUGCAUCAUGAUUUACAUUUGAGUGAGUGGCGAACUGGUGAGUAACACGUGGGAAACCUGCCCAGAAGCGGGGGAUAACACCUGGAAACAGAUGCUAAUACCGCAUAACAACUUGGACCGCAUGGUCCGAGCUUGAAAGAUGGCUUCGGCUAUCACUUUUGGAUGGUCCCGCGGCGUAUUAGCUAGAUGGUGGGGUAAUGGCUCACCAUGGCAAUGAUACGUAGCCGACCUGAGAGGGUAAUCGGCCACAUUGGGACUGAGACACGGCCCAAACUCCUACGGGAGGCAGCAGUAGGGAAUCUUCCACAAUGGACGAAAGUCUGAUGGAGCAACGCCGCGUGAGUGAAGAAGGGUUUCGGCUCGUAAAACUCUGUUGUUAAAGAAGAACAUAUCUGAGAGUAACUGUUCAGGUAUUGACGGUAUUUAACCAGAAAGCCACGGCUAACUACGUGCCAGCAGCCGCGGUAAUACGUAGGUGGCAAGCGUUGUCCGGAUUUAUUGGGCGUAAAGCGAGCGCAGGCGGUUUUUUAAGUCUGAUGUGAAAGCCUUCGGCUCAACCGAAGAAGUGCAUCGGAAACUGGGAAACUUGAGUGCAGAAGAGGACAGUGGAACUCCAUGUGUAGCGGUGAAAUGCGUAGAUAUAUGGAAGAACACCAGUGGCGAAGGCGGCUGUCUGGUCUGUAACUGACGCUGAGGCUCGAAAGUAUGGGUAGCAAACAGGAUUAGAUACCCUGGUAGUCCAUACCGUAAACGAUGAAUGCUAAGUGUUGGAGGGUUUCCGCCCUUCAGUGCUGCAGCUAACGCAUUAAGCAUUCCGCCUGGGGAGUACGGCCGCAAGGCUGAAACUCAAAGGAAUUGACGGGGGCCCGCACAAGCGGUGGAGCAUGUGGUUUAAUUCGAAGCUACGCGAAGAACCUUACCAGGUCUUGACAUACUAUGCAAAUCUAAGAGAUUAGACGUUCCCUUCGGGGACAUGGAUACAGGUGGUGCAUGGUUGUCGUCAGCUCGUGUCGUGAGAUGUUGGGUUAAGUCCCGCAACGAGCGCAACCCUUAUUAUCAGUUGCCAGCAUUAAGUUGGGCACUCUGGUGAGACUGCCGGUGACAAACCGGAGGAAGGUGGGGAUGACGUCAAAUCAUCAUGCCCCUUAUGACCUGGGCUACACACGUGCUACAAUGGAUGGUACAACGAGUUGCGAACUCGCGAGAGUAAGCUAAUCUCUUAAAGCCAUUCUCAGUUCGGAUUGUAGGCUGCAACUCGCCUACAUGAAGUCGGAAUCGCUAGUAAUCGCGGAUCAGCAUGCCGCGGUGAAUACGUUCCCGGGCCUUGUACACACCGCCCGUCACACCAUGAGAGUUUGUAACACCCAAAGUCGGUGGGGUAACCUUUUAGGAACCAGCCGCCUAAGGUGGGACAGAUGAUUAGGGUG